AGGACAUGGACCUCAACAACAUAAUUAGGAGGGCAGGAGAUCUGAGAGUACCGAGGCUCUGCAGAAGGCUGUGUAAACAUACACAGUCAGGUGUGUUUCCUGUGCCGUGUUCAUACAGUCUGUGACCAGAUGCCACGUGUCAGGCCAGACAAACGACCACAGUGCCAAGAUCCCUCCCUGGCCUGGAGCACACCAAUUGAGCUGGAUUGGCUGCCUCUGCCUCCUGAGAACUGGUGUCAGUGGCGUACACCACCACUCCUGGAUGUUCACCUAUGAUUUGUAUUCGUUUUGAAGAACUCUCACCAGAAUACUGAGCGGCUGGCUGCAAACUGCCCGAAUUUCUUCUUUGGUCUUUGUAGUCCGGGGGUGGCCUUGUCAGGUGUCGGUUCAUCUGAUCCUGAGGGGAAAGUUUCUCCUUGAAAACACAAACGAAAACAUUGAAUUGAGUGAACAUUU
Myodes glareolus (Bank vole) is the source of this 456-nucleotide non-coding RNA. The record is from RefSeq and is a predicted model, not a curated record. NCBI's taxonomy places the organism in Eukaryota, Metazoa, Chordata, Mammalia, Rodentia, Cricetidae.